UACGAAGGGGGCUAGCGUUGUUCGGAAUCACUGGGCGUAAAGCGCACGUAGGCUGAUUGGUCAGUUGGGGGUGAAAUCCCGGGGCUCAACCUCGGAACUGCCUUCAAUACUGCCAGUCUUGAGUCCGAGAGAGGUGAGUGGAAUUCCUAGUGUAGAGGUGAAAUUCGUAGAGAUUAGGAAGAACACCAGUGGCGAAGGCGGCUCACUGGCUCGGUACUGACGAUGAGGUGCGAAAGAGUGGGGAGCAAACAGG
Molecule: ribosomal RNA, 253 nt
Filed under: uncultured bacterium
Lineage: Bacteria
Description: partial 16S ribosomal RNA
Rfam family: Bacterial small subunit ribosomal RNA
Source: RNAcentral